GAUAGCAAUACUCAAGAAUUGUUUUAUUUAUAAAUCUGUUGAAUGUCAUGGUUUCCAGAAAUGCUUCAUCAUUGAACGCAUACAUGGUACGCAUCUUCUCUACUUGUCAUAUUGAAUUACGAAAUAAAAUAAUCUCUCUUCUAAUUGAACGAGUAGCCAACGUACUCUUGGUGCAGCACAUAAAGUUGAAGAAAAGUUAUCUCCGGCAUAACAACGCAGCAUCUACCAAUAUAGAGGAAGUGAUAUCAUCAAUGUCAAUAUGCCGACAUAUUUACGUCGCAUUUUACAUCUGUGGGACCCAGCCUUUAAUGCUUCUUUCAUGACAAAAUUUUAUAAUGUUUAAAAAAGUAAAUUUAUUUUACCAGUUAUAAACUCCCUUUAGUGAAAAAAAUAUAGAAAAAUUACUAUUAUUGAUAUAAGAAUUUUGCUGCUUUUGCU
Molecule: long non-coding RNA, 438 nt
Filed under: Androctonus crassicauda
Lineage: Eukaryota; Metazoa; Arthropoda; Arachnida; Scorpiones; Buthidae
Source: RNAcentral